Molecule: ribosomal RNA, 639 nt
Filed under: uncultured bacterium
Lineage: Bacteria
Description: bacterial SSU rRNA
Rfam family: Bacterial small subunit ribosomal RNA
Source: RNAcentral
CGCGGCCUAUCAGCUUGUUGGUGGGGUAACGGCCUACCAAGGCAUCGACGGGUAGCUGGUCUGAGAGGACGAUCAGCCACACUGGGACUGAGACACGGCCCAGACUCCUGCGGGAGGCAGCAGUGGGGAAUCUUGCGCAAUGGGCGAAAGCCUGACGCAGCAACGCCGCGUGGGGGAUGAAGGCUCUCGGGUUGUAAACCCCUUUCAUCAGGGACGAAAUUGACGGUACCUGAAGAAGAAGCCCCGGCCAACUACGUGCCAGCAGCCGCGGUGACACGUAGGGGGCGAGCGUUGUCCGGAAUUAUUGGGCGUAAAGAGCUCGUAGGCGGUUUAGUAAGUCAGAUGUGAAAGGUUGGGGCUCAACCCUAAGACUGCAUCCGAUACUGCUAUGACUAGAGUCCGGUAGAGGAGUGUGGAAUUCCUGGUGUAGCGGUGAAAUGCGCAGAUAUCAGGAGGAACACCGACGGCGAAGGCAGCACUCUGGGCCGGUACUGACGCUCAGGAGCGAAAGCGUGGGUAGCAAACAGGAUUAGAUACCCUGGUAGUCCACGCCGUAAACGUUGGGCACUAGGUGUGGGGCCCUAUCAACGGGUUCCGUGCCGUAGCUAACGCAUUAAGUGCCCCGCCUGGGGAGUACGG